GAUGCUGACACCUCAGUUCCCAAGCAGGGGUCAUAAUGAAUUGAACUUAUCUGCUGCAAAUCAGAUACUGCUGAUCAGAUUCUCUUUUCAACGCCUACACAGCACUACUCUAUCAACAAUUCCAGAGUCAAAGAUAUUUCCCCUGGAGUAGCAUCACUACCUCCACUGCUCAGAACAAGCAGCAUUAAGCACCUGGAGAAGACUGUACAUCUUUUCUAACAACUAAAAAGUUUGAAUCUGCAUUUGGGUAACAUUUUAACUUGAAGCUUUUUUGUAGUAGAAUUUUUCUUGCUGUUUAAAAAACAUGUCAGUAAAGAUUUAUUUUAACUA
This is a long non-coding RNA of Passer domesticus (house sparrow), 330 nucleotides long. RefSeq lists it as uncharacterized. The record is from RefSeq and is a predicted model, not a curated record. The transcript is spliced from 2 exons. Lineage: Eukaryota; Metazoa; Chordata; Aves; Passeriformes; Passeridae.